This 252-nucleotide ribosomal RNA is filed under the name uncultured bacterium. Its description in RNAcentral is "partial 16S ribosomal RNA". It matches the Rfam family "Bacterial small subunit ribosomal RNA", at positions 524 to 776 of the family's 1533-position model. The record is from RNAcentral.
UACGAGAGGUCCAAACGUUAUUCGGAAUCACUGGGCUUACAGAGUUCGUAGGCGGUCCAGAAAGUGGGGUGUGAAAGCCCUCGGCUUAACCGAGGAACUGCGCUCCAAACUACUGGGCUAGAGGAAGAUAGAGGUGAGCAGAACUGAUGGUGGAGCGGUGAAAUGCGUUGAUAUCAUCAGGAAUACCGGAGGCGAAGGCGGCUCACUGGGUCUUUUCUGACGCUGAGGAACGAAAGCUAGGGAGCAAACGGG